CAGUCGCCGCGGGAAUACGUAGGUGGCAAGCGUUGUCCGGAAUUAUUGGGCGUAAAGGGCUCGCAGGCGGUUUCUUAAGUCUGAUGUGAAAGCCCCCGGCUCAACCGGGGAGGGUCAAUGGAAACUGGGAAACUUGAGUGCAGAAGAGGAGAGUGGAAUUCCACGUGUAGCGGUGAAAUGCGUAGAGAUGUGGAGGAACACCAGUGGCGAAGGCGACUCUCUGGUCUGUAACUGACGCUGAGGAGCGAAAGCGUGGGGAGCGAACAGGAUUAGAUACCCCGGUAGUCCCUGUCUCUUAUAC
This 301-nucleotide ribosomal RNA is filed under the name uncultured bacterium. RNAcentral describes it as "partial 16S ribosomal RNA". It matches the Rfam family "Bacterial small subunit ribosomal RNA", at positions 509 to 807 of the family's 1533-position model. The record is from RNAcentral.